GAUGAAGAACGCAGCGAAAUGCGAUAAGGAGUGUGAAUUGCAGAAUUCAGUGAAUCAUCGAAUCUUUGAACGCACAUUGCGCCCUUUGGUAUUCCAAAGGGCAUGCCUGUUCGAGCGUCAUUUGUACCCUCAAGCUUUGCUUGGUGUUGGGCGUCUUGUCUCUAGCUUUGCUGGAGACUCGCCUUAAAGUAAUUGGCAGCCGGCCUACUGGUUUCGGAGCGCAGCACAAGUCGCACUCUCUAUCAGCAAAGGUCUAGCAUCCAUUAAGCCUUUUUUUCAACUUUUGACCUCGGAUCAGGUAGGGAUACCCGAUGAACUUAAGCAUAUCAAUAAGCGGAGGA
RNAcentral lists this unclassified non-coding RNA (341 nucleotides) under soil metagenome. RNAcentral's name for it is "partial contains 5.8S ribosomal RNA, internal transcribed spacer 2, and large subunit ribosomal RNA". The stretch from base 1 to 120 matches the Rfam family "5.8S ribosomal RNA", at positions 35 to 154 of the family's 154-position model. The record is from RNAcentral.